Molecule: ribosomal RNA, 253 nt
Filed under: uncultured bacterium
Lineage: Bacteria
Description: partial 16S ribosomal RNA
Rfam family: Bacterial small subunit ribosomal RNA
Source: RNAcentral
UACGAAGGGGGCAAGCGUUGUUCGGAAUUACUGGGCGUAAAGCGCACGUAGGCGGAUCGAUCAGUCAGGGGUGAAAUCCCAGGGCUCAACCCUGGAACUGCCUUUGAUACUGUCGAUCUGGAGUAUGGAAGAGGUGAGUGGAAUUCCGAGUGUAGAGGUGAAAUUCGUAGAUAUUCGGAGGAACACCAGUGGCGAAGGCGGCUCACUGGUCCAUUACUGACGCUGAGGUGCGAAAGCGUGGGGAGCAAACAGG